RNAcentral lists this ribosomal RNA (445 nucleotides) under uncultured bacterium. Its description in RNAcentral is "partial 16S ribosomal RNA". It matches the Rfam family "Bacterial small subunit ribosomal RNA", at positions 354 to 796 of the family's 1533-position model. The record is from RNAcentral.
GUGAGGAAUAUUGGUCAAUGGGCGAGAGCCUGAACCAGCCAAGUCGCGUGAAGGAAGAAGGAUCUAUGGUUCGUAAACUUCUUUUGCAGGGGAAUAAAGUGCGGGACGUGUCCUGUUUUGUAUGUACCCUGAGAAUAAGGAUCGGCUAACUCCGUGCCAGCAGCCGCGGUAAUACGGAGGAUCCGAGCGUUAUCCGGAUUUAUUGGGUUUAAAGGGUGCGUAGGUGGUUUGAUAAGUCAGCGGUGAAAGUUUGCAGCUUAACUGUAAAAAUGCCGUUGAAACUGUCGGACUUGAGUGUAAAUGAGGUAGGCGGAAUGCGUGGUGGAGCGGUGAAAUGCAGAGAUAUCACGCAGAACUCCGAUUGCGAAGGCAGCUUACUAAGCUACAACUGACACUGAAGCACGAAAGCGUGGGGAUCAAACAGGAUUAGAUACCCGGGUAGUCC